Molecule: unclassified non-coding RNA, 283 nt
Organism: Callithrix jacchus (white-tufted-ear marmoset)
Lineage: Eukaryota; Metazoa; Chordata; Mammalia; Primates; Cebidae
Rfam family: Metazoan signal recognition particle RNA
About the family: The signal recognition particle (SRP) is a universally conserved ribonucleoprotein. It is involved in the co-translational targeting of proteins to membranes. The eukaryotic SRP consists of a 300-nucleotide 7S RNA and six proteins: SRPs 72, 68, 54, 19, 14, and 9.
Source: Ensembl
GCCUGUGGUCCCAGCUACUUAGGAGGCUGAGGUGGGAGGAUCGCUUGAGCCCAGGAGUUCCAGGCUGUAGUGUAAUAUGCCAAUCAGGCGUCACACUAAGUUUGGUGUCAAUAUGGUUACCUCCCGGGAGCAGGGGACCACCAGGUUGCCUAAGGAGGGGUGAAACGGCCCAGGUCAGAAACCAAGCAGGUCAAAACUCCUGUGCUGAUCAGCAGUGGGAUCGCGCCUGUGAAUAGCCGCUGCUGCACUCCAGCCUGGGCAACAUAGCGAGACCCCGUCUCUU